This 212-nucleotide long non-coding RNA is filed under the name Elaeis guineensis (African oil palm). Its description in RNAcentral is "long non-coding RNA (EGUI_LNC071525)". The record is from RNAcentral. Lineage: Eukaryota; Viridiplantae; Streptophyta; Magnoliopsida; Arecales; Arecaceae.
GCCUCCCAUUAAGUUAGAUGACAAUGAGUCCAAUAGUUUAGAUGAUCAUUGGAGGUGCCACAUAUCUGGUGCUCAUCUGGCUAUUGUAAUUAUCAUUCAUAAUAUAUGGAUUUAGUUGUGUCUUUCUGAUGAUGAUCAGAUUGGUCGAGCCACACUCAAGCCUGAUUACUCAUUUGUCAGAUGUACUAAAUUCUGACAUAUUAAUGGUUGGA